UGGCGAACGGGUGAGUAACGCGUGAGGAACCUGCCUCAAAGAGGGGGACAACAGUUGGAAACGACUGCUAAUACCGCAUAAGACCACAGCACCGCAUGGUGCAGGGGUAAAAACUCCGGUGGUAUGAGAUGGACCCGCGUCUGAUUAGGUAGUUGGUGGGGUAACGGCCUACCAAGCCGACGAUCAGUAGCCGACCUGAGAGGGUGACCGGCCACAUUGGGACUGAGACACGGCCCAA
Molecule: ribosomal RNA, 238 nt
Filed under: uncultured bacterium
Lineage: Bacteria
Description: partial 16S ribosomal RNA
Rfam family: Bacterial small subunit ribosomal RNA
Source: RNAcentral